UACCAGGGCAGAAUGCUGAUAGAGCCAAU
RNAcentral lists this non-coding RNA (29 nucleotides) under Mus musculus (house mouse). Lineage: Eukaryota; Metazoa; Chordata; Mammalia; Rodentia; Muridae. The record is from RNAcentral.